RNAcentral lists this long non-coding RNA (1344 nucleotides) under Oryctolagus cuniculus (rabbit). RNAcentral's name for it is "lncRNA (ENSOCUG00000030572.1)". The record is from RNAcentral. Lineage: Eukaryota; Metazoa; Chordata; Mammalia; Lagomorpha; Leporidae.
CUCUAACAUUCUAUGAUGAUUCUUUCCUCCAAAGAAUUCCACUAGCAAUACAGAGUAAAGACAUAGCACAUAUGUACAAAACUUACUCCGUUUAUAUUAAAUUCCACAUUCCUGCAGGGGUAUGUAAUGUCUGUUGCCCUUCAGUCGACUCCCUACUCCAAUGUUUGUUUACAAUCAUCAGAGCAUGGACAGCUAUUUUUAAACCUGGCUUUUCAUGUAAGAAGGUUAAAACUCAAACUGAAUUUGAUUUGUUGGAGAAUUCAAAUCCUCAGGAUUAUGGCAGGAAAAAAGAGAAACGCUUUCAUCUCAGACCAAGGGUGAGGCUGGCCACUCCUGGUUGGUAAGCUAUUUUCUUUUCUGUCCUAUGCUCAUUACAUCUGGACAAGUGGGUAUUUGGAUUCAGGGAUUUUCAUGAAGAUUGAUCCUUCCUCUAUAGGCUGAAACUAUUAUCCUUAUCUUCAUAUUUGAAUUUAGUGUAUGAGUAGUGGCAUGGAUAGUAUAGUAGGAGUAACAGCAUCCACAUCAGUCUCAGAAGUCAUCUACUUCAUUUCAGCUUUCACCAGAGAAUCCUUCACUGAGGGCCAUCAAUCACUUAUUCAGCUUCAUUCAGGAAUAUAUCAUUGGUAUUCAUUCCUUAUGUAGAAGCUUGUGGUGAAGUGGUGAUUGCUUGGCAUGAUUUUGGAAUAAUUGAGUCAUUGAUCAUCAUAGGACUGAAAUCUUACUUUUUUUUUGACAGGUAGAGUUAUAGACAAUGAGAGAGAGAGAAACAGAGAAAGAGGUCUUCCUUCCAUUGGUUCACUCCCCAAAUGGCCACUACGGCCGGCGCUGCGCCGAGCCGAAGCCAGGAGCCAGGUGCUUCUUCCUGGUCUCCCAUGUGGGUGCAGGAGCCCAAACACUGGGCCAUCCUCCACUGCCCUUCCAGGCCACAGCAGAGAGCUGGACUGGAAGAGGAGCAACUAGGACUAGAACCUGGUGCCCAUAUGGGAUGCCGGCGCCACAGGCAGAGGAUUAACCAAGUGAGCCACGGCGCCGGCCCUGAUAUCUUACUCUUAAACUACAUAGCAAAAUGAAAUAGUAUCUACUGUUUUUUCAGGCGCUGUGAUGGAUGGCAGAGUUCUUUCCCUUAAUGAAAUUACAAAGUAAUGGAGAACAAAGACACAUAAAUAGAUAAUCAGAAUAUGGGAUUUGCUUGUUCUUUUAGAAGAGAGCACAAGAGUUUGUGGAAACACAAAAAGGAUGUUGGUAUUACUAGAAGAAUUAGAUGUGAUAUUGCCAUCAAAGAUACAUUUGAACUGAAUUGUGAAAGAUGAGUUCAAACAAUAGCUACACUGUUAGAACAUUCUA